UCGGGUAGAGUGAGAUUUGAA
Molecule: unclassified non-coding RNA, 21 nt
Filed under: Dictyostelium discoideum
Lineage: Eukaryota; Evosea; Eumycetozoa; Dictyosteliales; Dictyosteliaceae
Source: RNAcentral